AGCGAACGCUGGCGGCAGGCCUAACACAUGCAAGUCGAGCGCCCCGCAAGGGAGCGGCAGACGGGAGAGUAACACGUGGAACGUACCUUUCAGUUCGGAACAACCCAGGGAAACUUGGCGUAAUACCGAAUACGCCCGUAAGGGAAAGAUUUAUCGCUGAAGAUCGGCCCGCGUCUGAUUAGCUAGUUGGUGAGGUAACGGCUCACCAAGGCGACGAUCAGUAGCUGGUCUGAGAGGAUGAUCAGCCUCAUU
Molecule: ribosomal RNA, 252 nt
Filed under: uncultured bacterium
Lineage: Bacteria
Description: partial 16S ribosomal RNA
Rfam family: Bacterial small subunit ribosomal RNA
Source: RNAcentral